AUGCACUGUAAUCACAUAUCAUUUACAUGUAGCAUGAAUACAUAAGUGACAAAUCAAGAUAAACAACUCAAUCUUUAAAAAAAGUUCAAUAGGAGAUGAGCAGAUCCAAAAACAAAACUUAGUACACAAGAUCAAUUAAACGUAUCUCUCGAACAAGGCAAGAGGGAUCAAAGAAGAUGCAAUUAAAAACUGAUGUCGAAGUGCCAACCAAGAAAAAGCAGAAUCUGUAGCUUAUUUAGCGCUAAUGGAUCAAGCAAAUGAAUGAAACAAUGACCAUGGAACCACAUGUUCAACCUUAUGCAUCUGCCCCAAACUCAAUUAACAUGGCAGUCUAAAGAAAUGAAUUAAUCCCUGUAAGAGUCAUGGAAUCAAUCAACACGAAAUUGUUCUUAUGCUAAGCUAAGCAAAAAAGGAACAUACGAUGAACUAAAAAAUGAUUCCUAAGUCAGUAACACACACAUAUUUGCGCACACACAUAUUUGCGCACGAUCCAGAGAAUAAUACAACCAUCAAUGGCUACUAAGUCACCCUUUUUUUCUUUUGAAAGACCAAAUACUUAAUUUAGUUCCAACCACUUCAAGGGUUAAACAAGGACAGGAUUCUGGACAGAUUUAGACCUAUACUUGUUGAAUCUAAGACCAAAAUGAAUCCCAAUAGCAGUUCCAAAACUCAACAGAACAAGGGAGCAUAAAUCAUCAGCAAAAAUUUCGUUUAAACUUCAACAAACCAACAGAAAACUUAGUGAAAUAUCACAGAUGCACACUCAACAAAUCUGUCUCAUAUUGCGAUUUCAAUCAAGGCUGACUGAUAUGGCUAUACAUGCCUCGGACAGAGUUGUAAAGAAGAUGAAGAAGAAGAGAAAAUCCAGUCACAUGAAUUGAUUCAAUAACAAUUUACAACUUGUGUUAAAUAAAGAGAAAAUUCACAAACCUGUUGGCGACAAUUACUUUAAACAGAAUCGAAAGGAACAAACGAGUAGGAACUCAACAUUGACCUCAAUCGAAUCCCAACAUUGAAAAACUGAAUCCGAAAGCCAAAUACAUAUGUUUUUUGUGUUUUUGUUUAUUUUGGGAAAAUCAGAGAACAAACUUAAAGAAGACUCUCAAAUCAGAAAAAAUGACUACAAAAGAAAUCCAAAAAAGAAAACCAAGCAAACUAGCCUUUUCAACUUAUGAACCAAUUCUCGAACAUUUUCAAAAACUAAACUAUGAUCGAACAGUGAUAGACGAGGCAGAUGACCGCACGAUCACAUGUUCGGAUGAAUUCUGAGACUGUAGGACCAUACGAACAUUCCUUGAGGCUAAUACAAACAAGAGAAAUGACUACACAAAUCUCAGUUAUUAUUUCAAACUUCAACCUAAUUUAUAACUCAUUCAGAGAUCGAUUUACAACGGGAACUAAAACGAAGAAAAGAAAUGAACCUGGAAUUAAGAGACUGAAUUAAUACCACACUGAAAUCGAUCAAGGAGAGCAAUCAGCAGCAGAACACAAACUUCCGAGCAAUAGCAACCUCAAUUUUCUCGAGUGACUUCCAUUUUUAAACCAAAAUCCAGAAUUAUAAUGAAAAAGAUGAACUCUAGAGGUUUCGAAAAAAUAACUUUAAAGACUAAUAAACAUGAAAUAAAAAUCAGCACCCUCAGUGAUUUUUGUGUUGUUAUAUUAUCAGAAAUCAAAGAACCAACAAAACUGAAGAGGAAAAAGAAAACAUCUCUCAAAAUCUUUUCCGAAAAAUCUCUCCAAAAUUAUCUGUAUUUUUUUCUCUCUGAAAAAAAAUCCCCCUCGCAUAUAAGACUUACCUCAUAUAUAUUUCCUUCAAAAAAUUCUCGAAUCUUCUCUUAAAAAUCCGAAAUCUUCAGAUUUUUUGAAUGAUUUUGGACAAAUGGAGGGCAUGGAUUGAUUUUCAUCAAUCCACGGCCCCAAUUAGUCCAGCAAUCGUCCUUCUUGUACGAGAAUCAUGCAAUUCCUGGAGAAAAUCGUACAAAAAUCCGUUGAGGAUAAGGUGACGUGCAGAGGGGGCACCAAUGAGCGAACUCGUGAACGAGUUAGGGCGAGUUGAAGGAACAAGCGGUCGAAGAAGAUGAAGGAAUAGUAGGGUGCCGCAUCUGUUAUUCUCUAGGGUUAGGG
RNAcentral lists this long non-coding RNA (2124 nucleotides) under Nicotiana benthamiana. RNAcentral describes it as "long non-coding RNA (NBEN_LNC005791)". Lineage: Eukaryota; Viridiplantae; Streptophyta; Magnoliopsida; Solanales; Solanaceae. The record is from RNAcentral.